Molecule: ribosomal RNA, 599 nt
Filed under: Auricularia polytricha
Lineage: Eukaryota; Fungi; Basidiomycota; Agaricomycetes; Auriculariales; Auriculariaceae
Description: eukaryotic LSU rRNA
Rfam family: 5.8S ribosomal RNA (bases 205-358)
Source: RNAcentral
ACAAGGUUUCCGUAGGUGAACCUGCGGAAGGAUCAUUAAAGAUUUUGGGCUUUUAACCCGAUCGUUCAGCUGUGCGCCUUUUACCGGGCUGCACGCUGGAGCAAGACCCCACACCUGUGCACCUUUUCGGUUGCGGCUUCGGUCGCUGCCGCUUUCAAAUGCAACAACUCAGUCUCGAAUGUUAACAAAACCAUAAAAAGUAACAACUUUCAACAACGGAUCUCUUGGCUCUCGCAUCGAUGAAGAACGCAGCGAAAUGCGAUAAGUAAUGUGAAUUGCAGAAUUCAGUGAAUCAUCGAAUCUUUGAACGCAUCUUGCGCUCCUUGGUAUUCCAUGGAGCAUGCCUGUUUGAGUGUCACGUAAACCCUCACCCCUGCGAUGUAACAGUCGCUCGCGGCGGACUUGGACUGUGCCGUAACCGGCUCGUCUUGAAAUGCAUUAGCUGGCGCUUUUAGAGUGCUGGGCGACGGUGUGAUAAUUAUCUGCGCCAAAUGCCUUAGGCCUCUUCAGCGGUGCUGCUUACAGCCGUCCCUCUGUGGACACAUUUUUUAAAUCUUUGGCCUCAAAUCAGGUAGGACUACCCGCUGAACUUAAGCAUA